This 433-nucleotide ribosomal RNA is filed under the name uncultured bacterium. RNAcentral describes it as "partial 16S ribosomal RNA". It matches the Rfam family "Bacterial small subunit ribosomal RNA", at positions 29 to 507 of the family's 1533-position model. The record is from RNAcentral.
AGCGAACGCUGGCGGCAGGCCUAACACGUGCGAGUCGAACGAACUCUUCGGAGUUAGUGGCGGACGGGUGAGUAACACGUGGGAACGUGCCUUUUGGUUCGGAAUAACUCAGGGAAACUUGUGCUAAUACCGAAUGUGCCCUUCGGGGGAAAGAUUUAUCGCCAUUAGAGCGGCCCGCGUCUGAUUAGCUAGUUGGUGAGGUAACGGCUCACCAAGGCGACGAUCAGUAGCUGGUCUGAGAGGAUGACCAGCCACACUGGGACUGAGACACGGCCCAGACUCCUACGGGAGGCAGCAGUGGGGAAUCUUGCGCAAUGGGCGAAAGCCUGACGCAGCCAUGCCGCGUGAAUGAUGAAGGUCUUAGGAUUGUAAAAUUCUUUCACCGGGGACGAUAAUGACGGUACCCGGAGAAGAAGCCCCGGCUAACUUCGUG